UGACGCAGCGAUGCCGCGUGAGUGAUGAGGCCUUCGGGUCGUAAAGCCCUUUCGAGCGGGAAGAAUAGGUCGGGGCCUAAUAUCUCCGGGGUGUGACGGUACCGGUGAAGGAAGCCGCGGCUACGUCCGCGGCAGCCGUCGUGCGAAAACGGAGGGCGUUAGCGGUAUUUAGAAGUAUUGGUAGGUUUGGGGGUGAAGGCGGCCGGUCAACUCUGAUGUGGCAACCCGGACUUUAACCUCGGAAUGGCGUUGGAAACUGUUUGGUUUGAGUUCGGGAGAGGAAAUUGGAAUUUCUGGUGUGGAGGUGAAAUUCCUAGAUAUCCGGACGAACACCGGUGGGGAACUCAGGUUCCUGGACCGACGCUGACGCUGAGACGCGAAACCGUGGGAAGCAAACAAAAAUACAUACCCUGAUAGU
This 418-nucleotide ribosomal RNA is filed under the name uncultured bacterium. RNAcentral's name for it is "bacterial SSU rRNA". It matches the Rfam family "Bacterial small subunit ribosomal RNA", at positions 384 to 794 of the family's 1533-position model. The record is from RNAcentral.